Molecule: long non-coding RNA, 362 nt
Filed under: Lathyrus oleraceus (garden pea)
Lineage: Eukaryota; Viridiplantae; Streptophyta; Magnoliopsida; Fabales; Fabaceae
Description: Pisum sativum (pea) long non-coding RNA (PSAT_LNC032075)
Source: RNAcentral
GACAGGUAUGGAGGUGGUGCCAACUUUAUCCAUGAUGGUUACAACAAAGGUACAGCUUUAGGUGCUGAGAUUGUUGGUACCUUUGUUCUUGUCUACACUGUCUUCUCUGCAACUGAUCCUAAGAGAAACGCUAGGGACUCUCAUGUUCCUGUGAGUAUUUUUCUAUAUAAAAAAAUAUAUAUAAAUUCAUUCUUCACUUUUAUUUCUAAGUAUAACUAACUUGAUGAAAUGAUGAACAGGUUUUGGCACCAUUACCUAUUGGGUUUGCUGUUUUCAUGGUUCACUUGGCUACUAUUCCGAUCACCGGUACCGGUAUUAACCCGGCAAGAAGUUUCGGAUCCGCUGUGAUCUUAAACCAGGGG